GACGAACGCUGGCGGCGUGCUUAACACAUGCAAGUCGAACGGAAAGGCCCUGCUUUUGUGGGGUGCUCGAGUGGCGAACGGGUGAGUAACACGUGAGUAACCUGCCCUUGACUUUGGGAUAACUUCAGGAAACUGGGGCUAAUACCGGAUAGGAGCUCCUGCUGCAUGGGGGGGGUUGGAAAGUUUCGGCGGUUGGGGAUGGACUCGCGGCUUAUCAGCUUGUUGGUGGGGUAGUGGCUUACCAAGGCUUUGACGGGUAGCCGGCCUGAGAGGGUGACCGGCCACAUUGGGCCUGGGGUACGGCCCAGACUCCUACGGGGGGCAGCAGUGGGGAAUAUUGCACAAUGGGCGGAGGCCUGUGGAAGCAACCCCGCGUGCGGGAUGACGGCCUUCGGGUUGUAAACGGCUUUAGCCUGUGACGAAGCGUGAGUGACGGUAAUGGGUAAAGAAGCACCGGCUAACUACGUG
This 468-nucleotide ribosomal RNA is filed under the name uncultured bacterium. RNAcentral describes it as "partial 16S ribosomal RNA". It matches the Rfam family "Bacterial small subunit ribosomal RNA", at positions 28 to 507 of the family's 1533-position model. The record is from RNAcentral.